GCCAUUUCCCCCCCCCCCCGGAGGCGUCUGGGUGUGCGGAUCGCGCGCGCGCGCGCCAGUCUCGGAGGCGCACCUGUGAGGUGUCCCCUCCCUCCCUCCCGCGGGGAGAGGGCCGGUGGGCGCGCGCGGAGUCGGCGGCCUAGGCGCGCUCCGCAGUCGCACUUGGGAGUGAGUUGGACUCGGCCGACGCCCUGCACAGUCCUGGCCGAGGCCGCCCAGCGUCCCGCCGAGGUGAUGAGGACCUCCCCGCAGCCCCAGCGAGCCUGGCCGCUGCCGCCGGACGCCUCCAUUGUCUGACCACCGCCUGGGCCCCCAGCUCCCCCGCAGACCUGCAAGUCCAAGAGACGUCCCUCUGGAAGAUGAGAGAGCUGCCUCUUCAGGAUCAAAAAAAAGAAAACCUGCGUGCUACUGUAUAGAGUUCCCAGGAGCAAGACUGGCUGUCCCUGGAGCCAAGGAACCUUCAUGCUGUCAAGACCUGCCAUCUGAUGGGAAGGAGGCAGAGCGACAUUCUGGCUCUUCUGAGGGUGCUACCGGGACUCACCACCAGCUGACGCCUUCUGCCCUGGACAGACAGAUCGCACUACACAGACUUUGUUUUAUGAGUGAGAAGUAGAAGAGUCCUGCACAUCGGAAAGACUCCAGGGGCUCAGAACAAAGGUGUCUUCUUCAUUCCUACCCCUGGAAUGUUGACCACAGGGGAUCUAAAGGAAAGAAAGCUCUGUGCUGGUGAGCUAUGGGAUUCUUAGGAAAGUCAGUGCGACUUUGUCAUCAGUAAGAACUGAGGGAGGAACACUAUGCAGGAAGAAGCCUUCCACAGAAAGACAGGCAGGGAGAAGCUGAGGCUGACAGUAAGCUUGCCCAGUAGAGCAAGCCUGAGAUAGACUGCCAAGAUGGCAGAAUAAGAGGCUUUAUGAAGUAGCAGUCCUGGAACUCAUAGUUGUAAGGACACUUUCUUCUCUAAGUCACAAUACCAAAUAGGAAAAAUGAUCUACAAGUGCCCCAUGUGCAGGGAAUUUUUCUCUGAGAGAGCAGAUCUUUUUAUGCAUCAGAAAAUCCACACAGCAGAGAAACCCCAUAAAUGUGACAAGUGUGAUAAGGGUUUCUUUCACAUAUCAGAACUUCAUAUUCAUUGGCGAGACCACACAGGAGAGAAGGUCUAUAAAUGUGAUGAUUGUGGUAAGGAUUUUAGCACGACAACAAAACUGAAUAGACAUAAGAAAAUUCACACUGUGGAAAAGCCCUAUAAAUGCUAUGAGUGUGGGAAAGCCUUCAACUGGAGCUCCCAUCUUCAAAUCCACAUGAGAGUCCACACUGGCGAGAAGCCGUAUGUCUGCAGUGAGUGUGGGAGAGGCUUCAGUAAUAGUUCUAACCUUUGUAUGCACCAGAGAGUCCACACUGGGGAGAAGCCCUUCAAAUGUGAAGAGUGUGGGAAGGCCUUCAGGCACACCUCCAGCCUCUGCAUGCAUCAAAGGGUCCACACUGGAGAGAAGCCCUAUAAAUGUUACGAGUGUGGGAAAGCCUUCAGUCAGAGCUCCAGCCUCUGCAUCCACCAGAGAGUGCACACAGGGGAGAAGCCCUAUAGGUGUUGUGGGUGUGGGAAGGCCUUCAGCCAGAGUUCUAGCCUCUGCAUCCACCAGAGAGUGCACACAGGGGAGAAACCUUUUAAGUGUGAUGAGUGUGGCAAGGCCUUCAGCCAGAGUACUAGUCUUUGCAUCCACCAGAGAGUACACACCAAGGAGAGAAACCAUCUCAAAAUAUCAGUUAUAUAAAGAUGUUUUGCUAAGAAUUAAAAAUCUUAAACCCGUAAGUGCCACUAGGAAGGAAACCCCAAAUCCACCUACAUUGACCCCGGGAACAUCUACAGCAAUCCCCAGAAGAACAUUCUUUCUGAGGAGGUUGUGUUUUUCUGAACUUGGAAUUUUUUGUAUGUGCCCAAGAUGGAGUAUUGUGUCCCUGUCACGGGUAUAGUGUUUCCUGGGACUCUGGCAACAUGCCUCAGCAGCUGAAAGAAUCCUCAAAACUCACGAGUCUUGCUUAGCCUCUGAGUCACCUUCUAUCUGUGCUGUGUUUCCAGGCAACGCCAGACACCCCCUUUUGGACCACACACUCCUUCCUUUAUUCAAACCUACCUACCUGUCAGUGCAUUUGAAGAUGGGCAGCUCCCUUGAAGGCCGAGUCCUGCUAUUUCUGAGGUUGCCACUUGGCUCAAUCUCACAUAGCUUUCCAUAUAUCCCAUUAUUUCUGAAUCCACCGUACCUCGUGUCCUCAGAGUACCUAUAAACACCUACCCCUUCCUAGAUGGCAUUAAAUUUCAUUUUAGAUUUUAGGAAAGUCAUAAUAUGCACUCACUCAGCCGAUCAGGAAAUCACUGGCAGAUGUACAUGCUCUGGAACUUUUCUUUAGUUUGUGGACUCUGCUAAUCACUGUGUCUCUAAGUUAGACUUUUUCCUAGUGGCUGCGUCACAUGCUUUAACUUGAAAAAAAAAUUUUUUUUUAAGUAGCUGAAUGUAUAUAUCAGGGAGGAAGAAACAAGCAAACUGAGCUUGUCUGCUUCAAGAGUGACCCUCUUGGGCUCCUUUUAUAAAUGGUGGGGUUCCCUACCAGCUGGGGAGGCCUUGGGAGGGCUGACUGGGGAGUCACUGAGGAUGGAUCUGUCAUCUCAGGCAAUAAUGUGUAGAUGUCAUCAUGGAUCACAUACAGUUCUUUUUAGGCAUGAGUAUGUAUUGCUGACCCAUCCUCCUCAUUCAUUCACUGAGUAUUUAUUGAAUGCCUCCUGGGUGUUGGACAUGUACUGGGUGCUGGGAAUGCCACUGGAUCAUGAAAUUCACCUCUGGAGGAAACGGGAUAACAAGUUAACACAUAAAUAAUGUAGUUUGCGGUAGUGAUUAAGUGCUAUGAGAAAUAAACUAGGGUGGUAUGUAGAGGGGGUGGGGGGCCAGGUAGCAAGGGUCAGAAACUCUGCGCUGAAGGUGCUGGGGCCAGGUGAGGAGAGCAGUACAAGUACACAGCACAGGAGCUGCUGGCUCUGGGGACGAGAUGCAGGUGCUGCAGGUAGUUUGUGGGGAGGGAGGCAGGCAGGCGCUGAGCCGUGAGCUGAGCGCGAGCAUUUAUGGGCCUGUUGUGUUGAUUUUGUUUCUACUGACUGAUGAUGCUAAGACUCUCGGAGGAACUCGAGGGAUGUUGAGAAGACCAAAAGUCCCCGGUGACACCGGCACAAAGCUCCCAUAUCCGUUUCCUUCUCAUUCCCGUUCUCGGUCUCCCACAUGCAGUCAUUUGCUCAGGAAGUCUUUGGGGAAACUAAUGACCUGUAAGUCUGAAGUGGGUGACUGGCUUGGUGGCUUCUGCCAGCCAUUUAAGACUGGAGAAAGAACUUCCCAGAUGGUCAGAAAUACAAGACUGCUGCUUGGUUUUUCUCUGCAGGUUUGUUUUUUUGUUUUGUUUUGCUUUUGAAGUGUUUGGCUGGAAGAGGCUGUUGUAAGACUGAAUGAAGCCUUGGUGUGUAGAGGAGGCUUGAUAGGAGCUCAUGGUCAGUGGGUUGUGUUUGGGCAUGAAUCUGUUACCAUGCAUUUCAGUGCAGACACCUUCAGGCAAGCCUCUGGCCCACUGGUCACUGCCUUCCCCCUCUCCAGAGAGGGCUAUUGGCUAACAAAGCCCCUUCCAGGCCUCACAGCCACCACACCAAUUUACUGUACUGUCUUAUACUCAAUGUCACCACAGCGUGGAGCAUUAGAGGAAAAUCUAGACUUUGAGUUGAUAGAGAGCCAGUUGAAAUAUCAUCAAUAGAAUCUUAGUUUUAGGAAGAAUUGGUUUGAUUUCUAGCUUUAUUACUACUAGGUAUGUAAGCUUGGGCAAAUCGCUUAAUCUUCAGGUCUAGUUUUCUCACAGAAUGAGGACACUGGACUAAAUGAUUUCCCAAUUUCCAGCUAGUCCUAGAGUUCUAUAUUUCUACAUAGUUGAAUUAUUUUAUCAUGCUGUUGCUGGGGAAUACAACUAACACUUUUGAAGCUACUAAUUUUAUGUCAAGCUUUAAAGUCCAUAAUUGUUAUCUUCAGAAAAUAUUAUUUGACCUACAGUAUGUCUAAAUCAAUUUAAUAAAAUCACUUUAUAACAGGGG
Onychomys torridus (southern grasshopper mouse) is the source of this 4114-nucleotide long non-coding RNA. RefSeq lists it as uncharacterized. NCBI's taxonomy places the organism in Eukaryota, Metazoa, Chordata, Mammalia, Rodentia, Cricetidae. The transcript has 4 exons. The record is from RefSeq and is a predicted model, not a curated record.